Molecule: RNA transcript, 973 nt
Organism: Anolis carolinensis (green anole)
Lineage: Eukaryota; Metazoa; Chordata; Lepidosauria; Squamata; Anolidae
Gene name: prostate stem cell antigen-like
Exons: 3
Source: RefSeq, a predicted model, not a curated record
GUGGCCAGAAUCGAACAUCCCCUCAGGAGAAGGUUAAAUUGCCUCUGCGUCUGUCUGUCUGUCUGUUGUCUCUGUCUCGGUUCAAUGUGUUUAUGGGCAUUGAAUGUUUGCCCUAUGUGUGUAUAAUGUGAUCCGCCCUGAGUCCCCUUCGGGGUGAGAAGGGCGGAAUAUAAAUACUGCAAAUAAAUAAAUAAAUAAAUUAUCAAGAGCCUUUUAGCCUUCCUCAUUUCUAUAAUUGCUGAAAUGACAUCUAUUCUAACUCCCAGAUUAUCCCCUGUACCUGACAAAUUUGUCAUAAGAAUUGACAAAUGCACAUGAAUUUAUGUUUCAUGACAUUAUUACAGUGGUAUCUCGUAUCUGGCAAAAUGUUGUAUUCAGGGCACUCUCAGUGUUCAGAUCACAGGCUGCCACUGCUUCAUUGCCAACAAGGUUCUAAUAAUAACCUUUCUGAUCUCCAGGAUGAAAAUUAAAUCUUCCCACUCCAUUCUUCUAAUCCAGAGUAGGAAGACUGGGGCUUAGAACAGAUGUCAUUUCAGCAGUUAUAGGUUCAUAUUUGAUAUUGUAGUCCUGUGUUACACUUUCUUGCAUUCUUUAGAAGAAGAGAACCAAACAUGAACACUAUUCUGGUGACGGGUUACUUCAUUCUGCUCUACAUCAAUAUAGGUGGAAUAUCUCCCAUUAUUUUUCUUCGUAGUUGGUGCACUGCGCUGCAAUUAUUGUUCCAAAGUCAAAACUGACAACACUUGUCAGUACAAGGAAACUAUUUGCAAUACAGGAGUAAUGAAUUACUGCUACACCAAAAUAGUUUCUGCAGCAUUUUCUAUUAAAAAGGUCAGUCGGGGAUGCAGUUCUGUCUGUCGUUCCAUCAGUGCCAAGAAAAAAAUGUUUCAAAAGCAAAUGCUCUGCUGUAUUAAAGACCGCUGCAACAAUCACACUAUCUGGCCAAAAGAGAAAUAAACUAAACAAACUUCUG